UAGAGUUUGAUCCUGGCUCAGGACGACGCUGGCGGCGUGCUUAACACAUGCAAGUCGAACGGAAGGCCCUGCUUUGUGGGGUGCUCGAGUGGCGAACGGGUGAGUAACACGUGAGUAACCUGCCCUUGACUUUGGGAUAACUUCAGGAAACUGGGGCUAAUACCGGAUAGGAGCUCCUGCUGCAUGGUGGGGUUGGAAAGUUUCGGCGGUUGGGGAUGGACUCGCGGCUUAUCAGCUUGUUGUGGGGUAGUGGCUUACCAAGGCUUUGACGGGUAGCCGGCCUGAGAGGGUGACCGGCCACGUUGGGACUGAGAUACGGCCCAGACUCCUACGGGAGGCAGCAGUGGGGAAUAUUGCACAAUGGGCGGAAGCCUGAUGCAGCAACGCCGCGUGCGGGAUGACGGCCUUCGGGUUGUAAACCGCUUUCGCCUGUGACGAAGCGUGAGUGACGGUAAUGGGUAAAGAAGCACCGGCUAACUACGUG
RNAcentral lists this ribosomal RNA (484 nucleotides) under uncultured Propionibacterium sp. Its description in RNAcentral is "bacterial SSU rRNA". It matches the Rfam family "Bacterial small subunit ribosomal RNA", at positions 1 to 507 of the family's 1533-position model. The record is from RNAcentral. Lineage: Bacteria; Bacillati; Actinomycetota; Actinomycetes; Propionibacteriales; Propionibacteriaceae.